Molecule: ribosomal RNA, 1932 nt
Filed under: Triticum aestivum (bread wheat)
Lineage: Eukaryota; Viridiplantae; Streptophyta; Magnoliopsida; Poales; Poaceae
Description: partial small subunit ribosomal RNA
Source: RNAcentral
AUGGCGACCAUCGGCGUCGUCCUCCUGCUCCUCCUACUCACACCCACACCCUUUCUGGUGGCCGCCAAUUUCUGCGACAACGUCAAGGCAGCCGCCGCCGCCCUCUCCAAGAACGUCUCCUCCUCCCCGGUAAACUUCGCCACCGCCUCCUUUGGCCAGCCCCCCGACGUCGUCUACGCGCUCGCGCUCUGCCGCGCCGGUGACGUCGUCGACGGCUCCGCCUGUGGCGACUGCGUCGCCAACUGGUUCGCUACAGUAAACCAGACGCAGUGCCACAAGUUCCGCUCCAGCUACGGCGACUGUAUUGUCGUCUACAGCGCCGGCGACGACAUCCUACCGCCACCCUCAAAUGCCACGGGAGGAUCCGGUGAGAACACGCUGCCCUUCGAGCAGUGGAACAUCACGAACGUCACCACCGGCGACGUCCCCCUCAUCGUCGGCCCCACCCGCGAGUUGCUGGUCGAGACUGCAGAGAAGGCGGCCAGCACGACGCGGAGCCGGUACGCCACUGGCGUCAUAGACAUGGACAGAGUGACGACCUACCCGAAGGUGUACUCCCAGGCGCAUUGCAUGCCGGACCUGUCCGCCGAUGACUGCUUGGCGUGCCUCCGCCAUCUCCUCGGGAUGGUCAACUCCACCAUGUCCCUGCGCACGGGUGGACAGAUGGGUAUCACGCGGUGCUAUUUCAGGUACGAGGCUUAUCGGUUCUACGGCGCCCAACCCAUGCUGACUGUGCCAUUGCCGCCACCGGCGCUGGCGACCAAACACAGGAGCAUGUUGUGGGCAAUUCUCGCAGUUGUAGUUCCUCUUUCGGCAGCAGCAUUUCUCUUCUUCAUCUGUUACUCUCGUCGGCUCAGAAUCCAAAGAAAAGGAUCAAGACGUGAUUGGAAUUUAGAGGGAGAUCUAGUUUGGCAAGGGAAAACUUCGGAGUUCUCUUUAUUUGACUUUCACCAGCUAGUGGAGGCCACAAACAAUUUUGCAGAAGAAAACAAACUUGGAGAAGGUGGCUUUGGCGCUGUCUACAAGGGCCAACUUCCAGAGGGAUUGGAGAUAGCAGCCAAGAGACUAUCUUCACAUUCUGGACAAGGUUUCAUGGAGUUCAAAAAUGAAGUCCAACUCAUAGCCAAACUCCAGCACAAAAUUUUGGUUAGGCUCUUGGGGUGUUGCUCUCAAGAAGAGGAGAAUAUAUUGGUUUAUGAAUACAUGCCAAAUAGAAGUCUAGAUUUCUUCAUCUUUGACGAGAAUAAAAGAGCUUUAAUUGAUUGGUCAACAUAUCUAGCAAUAAUUGAAGGAGUAGCACAUGGACUUCUUUACCUACAUAAGCACUCUCGUCUGCUUGUCAUACACCGAGAUCUUAAACCAAGCAAUAUUCUCUUGGACUACGAACUGAAUCCAAAAAUUUCAGAUUUUGGGCUAGCAAAAAUACUGAGCUCAAAUGACACCGAAGGAAAUACCACAAGAAGAGUGGUUGGAACAUAUGGCUACAUGGCCCCGGAGUAUGCUUCAAAGGGCAUCUUCUCAAUUAAAUCCGAUGUCUUCAGCUUUGGUGUUGUCAUUUUUGAGAUCCUUAGCGGAAAACAGAAUUCUGGUAACCAACAAUGUGGAGGUUUCAUCAAUCUGCUUGGAUAUGCAUGGCAAUUAUGGGAAGAGGGAAAGUGGGCUGAUCUCAUUGAUGCACCAUUACUACCCGGAAGUCACUCGACAAAGAUGAUGAGAUGCAUUAACAUAGCAUUAUUGUGUGUACAAGAGAAUGCAACUGAUAGACCAACCAUGGGAGAUAUUGUUUCAAUGCUAAGCAAUGAAACCAUGAUCUUGGAUGAGCCUAAGCACCCAGCAUAUAUCAAUGUAAGGGUGGGAAAUGAAGAGGCAUCCACAGCUCUUGAGCCAUGCAAUACUAAAGAUAUGACCAUAUCUGCGACAGUUCCUAGAUAG